Molecule: long non-coding RNA, 2585 nt
Organism: Cyprinus carpio (common carp)
Lineage: Eukaryota; Metazoa; Chordata; Actinopteri; Cypriniformes; Cyprinidae
Source: RefSeq, a predicted model, not a curated record
CAUGAUUUGUUAUGUGUGAUUUCUUCUCAGCUAACAAAAAAACGGCCAUCUGCCAAUGGUCUGGAGUUCAUUGGUCCUCUUGUGAGCUCAGUGGAAGAGACCUCAGACCCCAUUAGUACAGUUAUUAAAGGUGAAAUUCCCUCCUGGAUCACUGGCAGCUUCCUCAGAAAUGGACCUGGAAAAUUUGAGUUUGGUAAAAUUAAAGGCGACUGAUAAUGCUGGAGUGAGUUUUGUUAAGUACAAGGGAGAUUUCUACGUAUGCACAGAGACCAACUUCAUGCGCAGAAUCGACCCUUUGAGUCUGGAAACCAAAGAAAAGGUGGAUUGGUCAAAAUAUAUUGCAAUAAAUGCAGCAACCGCUCAUCCACAUCAUGACCAUGAAGGAGCGACUUACAACUUGGAAAACUCAUAUGGCCGAAGAGGUGGGAUGCCUCAUUUAUGCUUUUUAUAUAAGAACUAAACUCUAAUGGGUUCUUUUUUUUUAUUAAUGUUUUCAAACCAAAGCACUCCACCCAUCUUCCACUGGUCAAACAAACACGCCCAGAAACACUUAAGCCAAUGUUUUAAAAGCACCACAGAGCCACACUUUUUGGAAAAAUCAAUAUAGAAUGGCCACACCUUUCUAUUCUGAUUCUCAAAGGCUUCUCCUACCAUAUCCUCCAAAUUCCACCAGGUGAAGGAAAGAAGGAUGCUGCUGAUCUGUCAGGAACAGAUAUUCUUUGCUCUAUUUCUGCUUCUGACCAAAGGAAGCCAUCAUACUACCACAGUUUUGGUAGAUUUGCCUGCCAUGUUUGCAUUUUCAAAUAAUCUGAUCUGAAUUUCUGCUUCUUUAUCCAUCUGUAAUAUUUUGCAUUUAUUUACAUAGAAUUUCAUAUGGUUGGAAAUGUGGGCCACACUUUUGUUCAUGUAGAUUGUCCAGUAUAUUGUAAUCUUCACCAAUGGAAAAUAAGCCUUUUCUUUUCCUUUCUGUGUUUUAAUUCAUUUUAUGCUAUGUUUGCAGUCAUGUCGAAGAAUUAGAUAGUCUUCAUUGAGCAGUCGAUCAUUUACAUUUAUGCAUUUAGCAGACACUUUUAUCCAAAGCUACUUACAGUGCAUUCAGGCUAACAUGUUUUACCUAACGUGUUCCCUGGGAAUCAAACCCACAACCUUUUGCGCUGCUAACGCAAUGCUCUACCACUGAGCCACAGGAACACAAUCAAGCUAGACUUGCUGAAAUUCAUCCUGUACAGAGUUGCUGGAAAAAGCUUUCAUUAUGACCUGGAACCUGGAACUAGAAACCAUCUUCCGUUUGGCAGACAGACGCACUGGCCAGGCAUGGCAGAGUCCAUCCCAACAUCAUACUGACUGACUUCUAAUUGUGGGCACUGUGUAUUUCUGUCGUGUCACCUCUGUCAUCCAUGUUUUCAUCCAUGCAUCUCAUCAAAACAAAAUACUACAGCACUGCCAUGUUCACGCUGCACUAGAUUAAUGCAUAUGAGGAUAAUGGAUAUUUGAUUAUGGACAUGUGCUGUGGAGAUGAUGGCAAUGUGAUUGGUGACUUCACAAUGGAGAACCUUCAUGCAUCUGGAUAAGAACUUGACAAGGUGUAAUACCUUCACAAUCCAAAACAUGUCAAAUGUCGAAAAUGCUGACCUCUCUUUCAUUUUUUAUAUAAAUUUAAUUUUAACACAGUGUUUAUCUAUUGGAUUUUCCAUUUCUUCAAUUCAUUGUGUACAAACUUAUCACGAUGAUAUGUACUGCCUCUGGACAUAAAGGAAGAUGAACCUAAUGACCACAACCUCAUCAAUUUGCAACAACAACAUCAUAAUAAUAUUGACACAACUCUGAAGAGAGAAUAAAUACGGUGUUCAAGCAUGGUCCAAAUACUUUUUUGUAUUUCAUUAAGCAACACAAGUGAGCUCCAAAUCACUAGGUGGCACUCGUGGUAUAUGGAAGCGCUGGUUUACACUUCUGUAUUUUACUUUUUUUACUCUACAAAUGGGGAAAGGACAAAUAAUUUUUUUUUUUACUUUUUGCAAACAACUCUAAAGGCUUAUACAAAACGGCUGAAUUUGACAAACCUGUAAAAAAAAUACACUUGCUGUGGCGAAGAAAGUGUUUUAGACAUUUAGAGCAAAGGUGUGUCCUGCUGACAUUCAGUAGUUUAUUUGUAACUGACAAUACAAAUUCAGUGAUUUCUCAUUACAACAACGUCAACAGUACAUUUCUAGACUAUUCAAAUGUAUGAACGUGUUUAGACUGGAAAUAAAGUGGUCUUUGCAAAGAAGCACAAAACGUAUUUUCAAACUGUUGGUAAGACCUAUUUUAGUAAACUUAAAUAAAAUUAAGUUUUAAGUUUUAAAUAAAAAUAACUAUUUACUUAGUUUGUAUUUUGGUCAAUUAUGUUGACUUGCGGUUUAAGUGGUGUCAAAAGCACAUUAGGUGCAUAACCCUUACUAGGCUUUAAAGUGACUCUGCAAUCACCAAGCCCAAACUCAUUGCUCAAGUUGUCAAUUGACUGUACCUGCAUAGCCUCGCGUAGCCAGACCUUCAGAUGAAGGUCUGGAAUUCAUGGCAGCUUUCAUUGGCCAAGGCCCAUCCAUGAG